Non-coding RNA from Cinara cedri, 1055 nucleotides. The record is from the annotation of a GenBank genome assembly. Lineage: Eukaryota; Metazoa; Arthropoda; Insecta; Hemiptera; Aphididae.
UUUUUUUUUGCGGCAGUCAUUUCAGUAUUCAUCAUGCCUUUCAUUACGAUGGGCCGUCUUACGAUUCUCUGAGACAAUCCAAUUAUAAGAAGAAAAACAAAUUUUUAAAAUAAAAGGGUUCGUCCCGUUACUCGUCGCAGAAAAAUCUAUGGAGAGUUCAGACAUUCAUUUAAUGAUUUAAGAAAAUCUUUGGGAAUGAAAUAUACGUAGUUUUUCCAUAGUGUUACGAGAGCACACAAUAAUAAUAUCAUGUUAUCAUAUUAUAGUUCCUAAAAUAAUUUAUAACAAUCCAUAAUUAUCGCUCCGUUGUUGUCAAGUCCGUAUGGUACCUAUCUAUACUAUAUUAAUAAUAUAUACUCGUAGAAAACGAUCUACCAUAUCACACCACUAUUCGUGACUCUUCAUGGCCGCCAAAUAUAUUUCAUGAGCGUCGAGCGUUAAAAUUCAAACGCGUUUGAUUUAUGACGUGCCGCAUCGCUGACGCUCGCCGCUCGUAGUCAAUAUACAGGCUGUACUACGAAGAUAUACCCAUUGAAUAUCUACGGGGAUAAUAAAGAUAAUCAAAUUUUGAUUUAUUUAGUUAUUUGAUUUUUACAAUUAGAAUACUGAGUUUCAUUUAGACUGUUUGUGUGAUGGCCGAAACAACAAUUGUUUAAACAUUUAAUUUUAAAAACCAUUUAAUCUAAAUUGAUAGAUGUAACUAGGAGAUUAGACUAGGAUUGGAGAAAGUAAAGGGUCGCCCAUGUAGGCUCUUUCUAGUUCCUUAACGAUAUUUAUGGGUCAGCAAUAUGUACUUUUCCCGUGGGCAGCAAUUUACCUUAACAAAACACUGUGCUAAAGACAAUACUAUUAUUAACUCCAUUAUCUUGCAGAUGUGUAUUAUGAAAGGAAAACCAGUAAAGUGCGAAUGAACACGGCUAAUUAUUUUCAUUCAGACAACUUAAUGUACCUAGAAAACGCACUGUAAAUGUAUUGGUGUCAUAUAUACCUAACUUCAUUUUUAUACCAAUUACUCAUGUAAGUACUGACAUAAGGAACCGAUUAAAAACUAUUCA